This 105-nucleotide small RNA is filed under the name Arabidopsis thaliana (thale cress). RNAcentral's name for it is "ATSL270840". The record is from RNAcentral. Lineage: Eukaryota; Viridiplantae; Streptophyta; Magnoliopsida; Brassicales; Brassicaceae.
AAAGACAAGGACUCAUACGGACUUCGGCUACACCAUCAAAGCUUUGAGAAGAAAGAAGAAGCUUGGUUAAUGUUUUGGAGUCGAAUAUGACUUGAUGUGAUGUAU